This 404-nucleotide long non-coding RNA is filed under the name Durio zibethinus. Its description in RNAcentral is "long non-coding RNA (DZIB_LNC002213)". The record is from RNAcentral. Lineage: Eukaryota; Viridiplantae; Streptophyta; Magnoliopsida; Malvales; Malvaceae.
UGUUUAAGCCAAGCUAAGAAUGAGAAAUAUCACUUUUGACAUUGAGUUUGAACAUGACGAAGCAUGAAGGAGGAGUUUUCGACCUAGCGUAGGUAUUCGUAUUACGUAAGGGUUCGCCUCUUGAGGAAGCCCCAGCUUAUUAAGAAAAGUAAGUAGGGAGGUGAAGCUAGGAUAAGUGAUCUGGAAGUCUUCCGUUCGGGUCUUCUCCAGUGGGUGGGAUAAGGGAAAUAGGCGCUAAGAGUCGUCCUUCUUAGCGAGGAAGCAAGUGAAAGCUUUGGUCCUACCUGGUUUUUUCACAAUACCCUAAUCUUCGUAAUCGGAUCUAAAAUCUAAAAUUGCAAUCAAUUAAGUGUAUGAAACGAUUUUCUCUUCUGCAGAUGAAAGAGCUUCCGCUUAAUCUUAUG